GAUGAGGGUUAAAUCAUUUCAAUACACUCUCAGACAAAAGCUGUCACUGAGGCAGUACCUUUUCAAAAGGUACACUUUAGGUACAAAGGUGUGCCUUUUGAAAAGGUACCGCCCCAGUGACAGCUUUUGUACCUUUUUUUUCUGAGAGUGUAGGAAUAUGUGCUAUAACUUCACUAAACACGUGGUCAGAUUAACCAUUGUUCUGCAAAAUUUCUUAUAUGUAUGAUCAGGAAUUUGGGGUAAGGGUGAAACAUUUCCCUAAGCAGACUGACAGACUAACAUUUUGUAUGGAAUGUGUAAACAGACAAAAUGUCAGUCUAUCAAUUUUGAGGCUCAGAGCUAAAUGUUGCAUAAUCCUAAUGUACACGAUAAUAGCUGGAAUUGUUUUGUUCUUCCUAGGUUUUUAUUGUUUGGAGGGCAUCUCUCGGAGGCCAAGCUCUCAGUUUCUGUGCCCACAAGGGUAUUACUGUGAGGAAGGCACAGGCGUGCCACACGGGUCACCUUGCCCUGCUGGAACCGCAGGAGGACAACUGGGUCAGACAAGUAGGGCAGCUUGCAAGAAGUGUGCAGAGGGUCGCUUCUGUCCCGCAGUAGGUUCUGCUGGUCCUGGGUUGCUUUGUGCCCAUGGGAGGAACUGUCCAGCAGGCACACUCAGUGAAAUCUUAUGCCCACAAGGGACCUUCACCCCACAUCAGGGGGCACUGAGUAAGAUUUCAUUCCUAAAACCAUCAUGGUCAUUAAAGGACAUUCAUAUAAAUCUACCAUUGUGUUGAUAUUUGUGUCUAUUUUCAUCGUAGGUGUAAAGGACUGUUUAAAGUGUCCACCAGGCUUCUAUUGUGCAGAAGGAACCAGUGACCCAAUGCCUUGUCAACCAGGCACCUUUAACCCUGGAGCUGGCAGACUGCAGGCCUUGUGACCCGGGCAAAGCAUGCACACAAGUUGUACUGAAGUUUCCUGAUGUGGAUGUUAUGCCUUUUGCACAUGAGAAGUUUUUUUUUUAAACCAGCCUAAGCUGGACCCAUCAGACGGGUCCAUUUAGUUGGUUUUAGAAGUUUGGGCAUUUGACAAUCUAGCUGAUGUCACAAUACACCUUUAGUAACCCUACAGACCUCACUGACCUUUCCCAGUGCCAGCAGUGUCCCACACAUUAUGCCUGUCUUUGAGGUGUCAUACUACCUUCAGAGUUGAAUGCCAUGUAAUUACUUGUAUUCAAUUACUAUUUAACAAUUUCUGCUUUUACAGGCACUGGUGGCAUCCAGAGGCCUCCACUUCUUUGCUUUCCUGGGCAUUACUGUCCUGUGGGCACUAUGUUUCCCACUCAGCACAAGUGUCCAGCUGGUACCUGGAGCGAUCGCAGUGGACAGGAGUCAGAGCGUGAGUGCCGGCCGUGCCCGAGAGACUGGUACUGUUUAGCAGGAGUGGGCACUCCCUCUGGGAGAUACAACUCUGGACACUACUGUCCUGAAGGUACUAAAGCUGUGUGAAACAUUUGAAUGCUUUAUCCGCCUUGAAGAAAAACAGGCAUUUGAAAUCUGGCCUAACAUCAGUUAAGUGCCAUAUUGAUAUACUUUAUGAUGGACAUAUUGCAAAGUCAUGCAAAUAAUCAUUAUUGAUGUACAGAGUCA
Molecule: long non-coding RNA, 1625 nt
Organism: Cyprinus carpio (common carp)
Lineage: Eukaryota; Metazoa; Chordata; Actinopteri; Cypriniformes; Cyprinidae
Source: Ensembl